GAGAGUUAAACAGUACGUGAAAUUGUUGAAAGGGAAACGAUUGAAGCCAGUCGUACCAGCGGAUAAUCAGCCUUUAGAUGCGAUUUUGUGGAGCGUGAAGAGCUAAUCGCCUUCAUGCCUGUAUAUUCGUGUACUUGGGGUGUACUUAUUCGUGUGGUAAGUUAACAUCAAUUUUAGUUGUCAUAAAAUGAUUGGAGGAAUGUAGCUUCGAUCUCGUAUUGAAGUGUUAUAGCCUUUGGUAGAUGUGACGAUCGGGAUUGAGGAUUGCAACGGAUACCCUUCGGGGCUACCUCUCUGAUUUCUGAUUGUUGCUUUGGUGCUGAAAGCUUGCUUAUGGUUAUCAAAGUCGAUGGUCAAUAGGUUAGAAUGGGUUAAAUUCGUUAAGGAUGUUGACGUAAUGGCUUUAAACGA
Molecule: ribosomal RNA, 411 nt
Filed under: uncultured Rhizophagus
Lineage: Eukaryota; Fungi; Glomeromycota; Glomeromycetes; Glomerales; Glomeraceae
Description: partial 28S ribosomal RNA
Source: RNAcentral